UUUCCUUUGGCUCAGUUGGUAGAGCAUUGUGGUAGAGCAUUGUGGUAGAGCAUUGUGGUUUAAAGGUCGUAGGUUUAAAUCCCAGGGAAAG
Non-coding RNA from Danionella cerebrum, 91 nucleotides. The record is from the annotation of a GenBank genome assembly. NCBI's taxonomy places the organism in Eukaryota, Metazoa, Chordata, Actinopteri, Cypriniformes, Danionidae.